RNAcentral lists this ribosomal RNA (207 nucleotides) under uncultured bacterium. RNAcentral describes it as "partial 16S ribosomal RNA". It matches the Rfam family "Bacterial small subunit ribosomal RNA", at positions 568 to 774 of the family's 1533-position model. The record is from RNAcentral.
CACGUAGGUGGCAAGGUAAGUCAAAGGUGAAAGCCCUCGGCUCAACCGAGGAACUGCCUUUGAAACUGUUUUGCUUGAGUCCGGGAGGGGGGAGCGGAAUUCCCAGUGUAGCGGUGAAAUGCGUAGAUACUGGGAGGAACACCGGUGGCGAAGGCGGCUCCCUGGACCGGUACUGACACUGAGGUGCGAAAGCGUGGGUAGCAAACA